Long non-coding RNA from Bubalus bubalis (water buffalo), 712 nucleotides. RefSeq lists it as uncharacterized. The record is from RefSeq and is a predicted model, not a curated record. The transcript is spliced from 3 exons. Lineage: Eukaryota; Metazoa; Chordata; Mammalia; Artiodactyla; Bovidae.
GGGGAGGGAGUCACUCACACAGGAGCAGCAGAUGAAGACCAUGCAGAAGGCCUCUAUGAUGCCCGCGAUGCCCACCACCCAUGUGAGCCGCAGGAAGAGGAUGACCCCAAAGAUGUUCUGCAGGCACGGCAGGGAAACCCACCACCCGCUGUCUCCUGCCACCACCUCCACUUCACUCAUCAAGCCAAGAACUCCUGACCCCCAGAUAGGACUUCCACCAGCUCACUCUUCUCCUCACGUCCAUGAGUUCCUGGGACUAGUAGACCGGUCCUGCCUGUGGGAGCCUGGCACGUGGAGCAGCGAUGGGAUGCCCGGCUCUGCUGCAGACUAGACUUUGCCAAACCACCCGCUUCCCGAAGCCUGAACCUGCUAUGGAGGAGGGCGCCUGCGGAUUGACUCCAGGGUCACUGGGGAGAUGGAUGAGUUAGCCAGUCAGUAGUUCCUGCCCCUACUCAGCUUCAGGGAGGAAGAAGGGGUGUCAGAGGAUGAGGGACCCUGGUGUCCACAGCCUUCCAAGCGGCCACUUGGCUCUGACUUGGACCCAGGAUCCGGAGGACUUCAAGUCCAGGCUGCCUGUCCCUGAAAGACCCUGCGCUUUGAGCCUUUAGGACCCUUGGGCCUUCUCCGCGGGGAGCUCUGCAGGAGUCUUGGACCUGAGGGUCAAGCAAUGCCCAGGGGAGCGUUUGAAGGCGCUGAGCGCAGACAGCCAGAG